Molecule: ribosomal RNA, 492 nt
Filed under: uncultured bacterium
Lineage: Bacteria
Description: partial 16S ribosomal RNA
Rfam family: Bacterial small subunit ribosomal RNA
Source: RNAcentral
AGUGAACGCUGGCGGUAGGCCUAACACAUGCAAGUCGAACGGCAGCACAGUAAGAGCUUGCUCUUACGGGUGGCGAGUGGCGGACGGGUGAGGAAUACAUCGGAAUCUACUUUUUCGGGGGGGAUAACGUAGGGAAACUUACGCUAAUACCGCAUACGACCUACGGGUGAAAGCAGGGGAUCUUCGGACCUUGCGCGAUUGAAUGAGCCGAUGUCGGAUUAGCUAGUUGGCGGGGUAAAGGCCCACCAAGGCGACGAUCCGUAGCUGGUCUGAGAGGAUGAUCCGCCACCCUGGAACUGAGACACGGUCCCGACUCCUACGGGAGGCCGCAGUGGGGAAUAUUGGACAAUGGGCGCAAGCCUAAUCCAGCCAUACCGCGUGGGUGAAGAAGGCCUUCGGGUUGUAAAGCCCUUUUGUUGGGAAAGAAAAGCAGCAGGUUAAUCCCCCGCUGUUCUGACGGUACCCAAAGAAUAAGCACCGGCUAACUUCGUG